CUGAAAACAGCCCAAAUGAGGUUCACGUGUCACUGUGGCGUUCGCCUUACAGGGGUAGUACCCCUGUUUCAACACCUGAGGCGGUGCGUCAAGCGCCGCCUCUUUCUAAUCAUAUAUUGCGAUAAAUGUGGAGAAAGGCUGGUGGGAGGCCAGGCCGUGGCCGCACACCUGGCGGGUGCGGCCCAUCGGGCCCGUUACUGGGAGGGCCGGCAAGUCGGGCUGCUGUUGCAGUCCGACUACCGGGACGCCAUGGAGCGUAUCCGGACCCUAUGACGUAUGUAUGAAGGUCUGGAGCUAGCUGCCGUCUUCGGGAUGUGCCAUUUGUUUUCAAAAUUAUUUGUAAGUACUUGUA
Molecule: long non-coding RNA, 352 nt
Organism: Sycon ciliatum
Lineage: Eukaryota; Metazoa; Porifera; Calcarea; Leucosolenida; Sycettidae
Exons: 3
Source: RefSeq, a predicted model, not a curated record